AGAGUUUUAGGUUAACUUUAAACUAGGAGCCUUCAAAGCUCAUAAUGGGAGUUAAAAUCUUCCAGACUCUG
This 71-nucleotide transfer RNA is filed under the name Thayeria boehlkei. RNAcentral describes it as "tRNA-Trp". It matches the Rfam family "tRNA". From Rfam's summary of the family: Transfer RNA (tRNA) molecules are approximately 80 nucleotides in length. Their secondary structure includes four short double-helical elements and three loops (D, anti-codon, and T loops). Further hydrogen bonds mediate the characteristic L-shaped molecular structure. tRNAs have two regions of fundamental functional importance: the anti-codon, which is responsible for specific mRNA codon recognition, and the 3' end, to which the tRNAs corresponding amino acid is attached (by aminoacyl-tRNA synthetases). tRNAs cope with the degeneracy of the genetic code in two manners: having more than one tRNA (with a specific anti-codon) for a particular amino acid; and 'wobble' base-pairing, i.e. permitting non-standard base-pairing at the 3rd anti-codon position. The record is from RNAcentral. Lineage: Eukaryota; Metazoa; Chordata; Actinopteri; Characiformes; Characidae.